UUGUGUGCGGUGAUGAGUAUUUUGCUGGACUAGAGUUUCUGAUCUGGGAUUUCAAGCCCCAGUUUUGAAGAGAAACCCUUGGCUGUCUGAGCACAUUA
This is a small nucleolar RNA of Coffea eugenioides, 98 nucleotides long. RefSeq annotates it as small nucleolar RNA Z157/R69/R10. The record is from RefSeq and is a predicted model, not a curated record. The transcript has a single exon. NCBI's taxonomy places the organism in Eukaryota, Viridiplantae, Streptophyta, Magnoliopsida, Gentianales, Rubiaceae.